UACUUUCUUUGAGAAGAAAGUAACACAAACAUGCACAAAAGUGCUUCAGGUUCCCACUUGGGUCCAGGAGGCUUAGACCUAUCCCAAGCCUUCUUCA
Molecule: long non-coding RNA, 97 nt
Organism: Neltuma alba
Lineage: Eukaryota; Viridiplantae; Streptophyta; Magnoliopsida; Fabales; Fabaceae
Exons: 3
Source: RefSeq, a predicted model, not a curated record